This 254-nucleotide ribosomal RNA is filed under the name uncultured prokaryote. RNAcentral describes it as "partial 16S ribosomal RNA". It matches the Rfam family "Bacterial small subunit ribosomal RNA", at positions 524 to 776 of the family's 1533-position model. The record is from RNAcentral.
CACGUAGGGGGCGAGCGUUGUCCGGAUUCAUUGGGCGUAAAGGGCUCGUAGGCGGCUCAGUAAGUCGGGUGUGAAAACUCCAGGCUCAACCUGGAGACGCCACUCGAUACUGCUGUGGCUAGAGUCCGGUAGGGGAGCAUGGAAUUCCUGGUGUAGCGGUGAAAUGCGCAGAUAUCAGGAGGAACACCAGUGGCGAAGGCGGUGCUCUGGGCCGGAACUGACGCUGAAACACGAAAGCGUGGGUAGCAAACAGG